This is an unclassified non-coding RNA of Pongo abelii (Sumatran orangutan), 148 nucleotides long. It matches the Rfam family "Metazoan signal recognition particle RNA". Rfam says of the family: The signal recognition particle (SRP) is a universally conserved ribonucleoprotein. It is involved in the co-translational targeting of proteins to membranes. The record is from Ensembl. Lineage: Eukaryota; Metazoa; Chordata; Mammalia; Primates; Hominidae.
GCUGGGCAUGGCUGUGCAUGCCUGUAGUCCCAGCUACUCAGGAGGCUGAGAUGGGAGGAUCACUUGAACCCAGGAAGUGGAGGCUGCAGUGAGCCAGGAUUGUGCCACUGCACUCCAGCCUGGGUGACAGAGUGAGACCCUGUCUCCA